CGAACGGGUGAGUAACGCGUGAGUAACCUGCCCUGGAGUGGGGGACGAACAGUUGGAAACGACUGCUAAUACCGCAUAAGCCCCACGGAUCCGCAUGGAUCUGCGGGAAAAGGAUUUAUUCGCUUCAGGAUGGACUCGCGUCCAAUUAGCUAGUUGGUGAGGUAACGGCCCACCAAGGCGACGAUUGGUAGCCGGACUGAGAGGUUGAACGGCCACAUUGGGACUGAGACACGGCCCAGACUCCUACGGGAGGCAGCAUG
RNAcentral lists this ribosomal RNA (260 nucleotides) under uncultured bacterium. RNAcentral's name for it is "partial 16S ribosomal RNA". It matches the Rfam family "Bacterial small subunit ribosomal RNA", at positions 99 to 353 of the family's 1533-position model. The record is from RNAcentral.